AGACCGACCUUGUGGUUGAAGAGGGGCCCAUGAGAUAUCAGCUAGUUGGUGAGGUAACGGCCCACCAAGGCUAAGACGUCUAGGCGAGUUGAGAGAUUGACCGCCAACACUGGGACUGAGACACUGCCCAGACUCCUACGGGAGGCUGCAGUCGAGAAUCUUUCGCAAUGGGCGAAAGCCUGACGAAGCGACGCCGUGUGAAUGAAGAAGGCCUUAGGGUCGUAAAGUUCUUUCGCUCGGGAACAAGAGAGAGUGGCUAAUAACCACUUGAUUUGAGUGUACCGGGUAAAGAAGCACCGGCUAACUCCGUGCCAGCAGCUGCGGUAAUACGGAGGGUGCAAGCAUUAAUCGGAUUUAUUGGGCGUAAAGGGGGCGUAGGCGGAGAUGAAAGCCAGACGUGAAAGCCCGGGGCUCAACCUCGGAACA
This 426-nucleotide ribosomal RNA is filed under the name uncultured bacterium. RNAcentral's name for it is "bacterial SSU rRNA". It matches the Rfam family "Bacterial small subunit ribosomal RNA", at positions 202 to 622 of the family's 1533-position model. The record is from RNAcentral.